AACGAACGCUGGCGGCAGGCCUAACACAUGCAAGUCGAACGGAAAGGCCCUGCUUUUGUGGGGUGCUCGAGUGGCGAACGGGAGAGUAACACGUGAGUAACCUGCCCUUGACUUUGGGAUAACUUCAGGAAACUGGGGCUAAUACCGGAUAGGAGCUCCUGCUGCAUGGUGGGGGUUGGAAAGUUUCGGCGGUUGGGGAUGGACUCGCGGCUUAUCAGCUUGUUGGUGGGGUAGUGGCUUACCAAGGCUUUGACGGGUAGCCGGCCUGAGAGGGUGACCGGCCACAUUGGGACUGAGAUACGGCCCAGACUCCUACGGGAGGCAGCAGUGGGGAAUAUUGCACAAUGGGCGGAAGCCUGAUGCAGCAACGCCGCGUGCGGGAUGACGGCCUUCGGGUUGUAAACCGCUUUCGCCUGUGACGAAGCGUGAGUGACGGUAAUGGGUAAAGAAGCACCGGCUAACUACGUG
This 468-nucleotide ribosomal RNA is filed under the name uncultured bacterium. RNAcentral's name for it is "partial 16S ribosomal RNA". It matches the Rfam family "Bacterial small subunit ribosomal RNA", at positions 28 to 507 of the family's 1533-position model. The record is from RNAcentral.